This 243-nucleotide unclassified non-coding RNA is filed under the name air metagenome. Its description in RNAcentral is "partial contains small subunit ribosomal RNA, internal transcribed spacer 1, and 5.8S ribosomal RNA". The stretch from base 1 to 46 matches the Rfam family "Eukaryotic small subunit ribosomal RNA", at positions 1786 to 1831 of the family's 1831-position model. The record is from RNAcentral.
AAGUCGUAACAAGGUUUCCGUAGGUGAACCUGCGGAAGGAUCAUUACCGAAGUACAGGCCCUCUCGAGGGCUAAACUUCCACCCUUUGUUAACUAUACUUUGUUGCUUUGGCGAGACGCCUCACGGCCACCGGCUUCGGCUGGUGAGUGCUCGCCGGAGAAAACCCAAACCCAAACUUUUUUAGUGUUGUCUGAGAACUAAGUUUAAUUAUUAAAACUUUCAACAACGGAUCUCUUGGCUCUG